Long non-coding RNA from Helicoverpa armigera (cotton bollworm), 542 nucleotides. RefSeq lists it as uncharacterized. The record is from RefSeq and is a predicted model, not a curated record. The transcript is spliced from 2 exons. Lineage: Eukaryota; Metazoa; Arthropoda; Insecta; Lepidoptera; Noctuidae.
UUUGACAGAGGUGUUUUUUUAAACGAAUAUACUGUGAUUACUCAUUAACCAAGAAUAGAAUAGAAUAGCUGUGAUUACUACUAAAUCGCUGUCCAAUAUAGUAAAAUAUAGUUCGAAAUGGGUUUAGGGAAAAAGCAAAUGGAGCAGCUCUCAGGAUUUUCUCAGACGAUAGCAGCAUAUACCCUGGGUACAAUAAUAUCAACGAUAUACCUCACGGAAUGGAAGGCUGUUUGUCAAUAUAUCCCGUUCUUUAACAUGCAAGAGAAAUUCCAAGGUCCCAAAAAGAACGACGAGUAAAGAACAUACUCAAGAUACACAACAGUCAAUACAUGGCAGGUGUGCUCGGAUUUGUAAUAAAAUGUCAACCGGAUCGUGCGCAGCCGGCGGUGGCGCACGCGCAGCUGUCGGCCCUCCUCCGUGCCUCCACUGAGGUGUGCCCAUUGCCCUCCGAAUAAACAUUACCUCCUUUGUAGUGUAUUGUAAUUUUUUCAUUGUAUUUUACUAAUAAUAAUUCAUAGAUUACAAUAAAAAGUUAUUACAAA